This 239-nucleotide ribosomal RNA is filed under the name uncultured Fusobacterium sp. RNAcentral's name for it is "partial 16S ribosomal RNA". It matches the Rfam family "Bacterial small subunit ribosomal RNA", at positions 28 to 278 of the family's 1533-position model. The record is from RNAcentral. Lineage: Bacteria; Fusobacteriati; Fusobacteriota; Fusobacteriia; Fusobacteriales; Fusobacteriaceae.
GAUGAACGCUGACAGAAUGCUUAACACAUGCAAGUCAACUUGAACUUCGGUUUGGGUGGCGGAGGGGAGAGUCACGCGUAAAGAACAUGCCUCACAGUUAGGGACAACAUUUGGAAACAAAUGCUAAUACCUGAUAUUAUGAUUUUAGGGCAUCCUAGGAUUAUGAAAGCUAUAUGCGCUGUGAGAAAGCUUUGAGUCCCAUUAACCAGUUGGAGAGGUUAGUGCUCACCGGGGCCAUG